Long non-coding RNA from Ostrea edulis (European flat oyster), 1520 nucleotides. RefSeq lists it as uncharacterized. The transcript is spliced from 10 exons. The record is from RefSeq and is a predicted model, not a curated record. NCBI's taxonomy places the organism in Eukaryota, Metazoa, Mollusca, Bivalvia, Ostreida, Ostreidae.
AUUUAUAGCUAUUUAUUUAUAUAUAUUUAUUUCAGCUUGAAAUGCAUCUGAAACCAGACAGAAGCAUAUCAGACAUGUUCUUUAGAUUAAGAGUUAUAUAUGGAUACAUUGUACGUAGUACACAUGUGUUUGGAUAAGCCAGAAUUUGACGGUAAAACUAUCAACAGAAUUAACAGUAUCGGCAUAGGAACCAUUCCUAAAGGUGGACAGAGUGCAUUAAAAAUCUACAGAUUGGAGAAGGAAUGUGUUUUUAAGGUGAAGAUAACGAACAGUGAUCAAUCUCAUAACUCCUACAAGCAAUACAAAAUAGAUAGUUGGGCAAACACGGACCCCUGGACACACCAGAGGUGGGAUCAGGUGCCUAGGAGGAGUAAGCAUCCCCUGUUGACCGGUCACACCCGCCGUGAGCCCCAUAUCCUGAUCAGUUUGAGGCUUUAGAUACACUGCAGAUACAAGAACCAUUUUUGAAAAUUAAAUCCUGAACUGAAAUGAACCUCACCCUGGACGACAGAAAUAUGUCAUCCAGCAGCCUCAAUAUGUCAUCCAAUGUGUGUCAUGUUGAUAAAGUUAUACAGUCACAGUUACAAGGAGUGACCUUGAAUAAAUCAGAAGGUGCAUCCGAGUGUAUCUGUUUAAAGGUCAUAAACUCCACACCAAUCCCUGUAUCGAUAGGAACAUAUUCCGUGUCAUGGAGACGGAAAACAGAUGAGAGCUCUCCCUAUGUAGACACGGUGUUCCCACUGCCCACAGUCAAUACAGAGUACAGUUUCAUUUCCGUGUGCUGCCUGGUGAUCCGUAUGAACUCAAGUACAACUUGUUUCCUCUGGUGGCAGGUCAUGUAAAUUUACCCAAACUGAACUUCACCCUGCUACGAUACCCAGAUCCAAUCGACGCCAUUCUGCAGAAAAUGCUACCAACCCAUAUAUUCAUUAAGCCCUGUGGAAAGGUGUUGUCUCAAGGAACCUGAUGAGCUACAAACCUCUAACAUUUAAUGUGUAUACUAAGUUUUGUCUCAAGGAACCUGAUGAGCUACAGACCUCUGGAACAUUUAAUGUGUAGUAAGUGUUGUCGCUCUUUGUUACUGAGCCGGAGUCCGAGUAACAGACACUACUGACCAUGUCGUAUGUGAUUCUUCUGGAAGGAAUAUGUUUUUUUUUUAUUAUUGCUUUGUUUUCAUUAAAAUAUGUCUAAACAACAUGAUCUGUUUGUCCUGUAUGAAAUGGAUCAUUUCCAUAGAGGGGUUACGGGGGUUGUACAUGAGUGGUGGAUCUAGAGAGAGGUUGUACAUCAGUGGUGGAUAUAGAGAGGAGUUACAGGGGUUGUACAUGAGUGGCGGAUCUAGAGAGGGGUUACAGGGGUUGUACAUCAGUGGCGAAUCUAGAGAGGGGUUACAGGGGUUGUACAUCAGUGGUGGAUCUAGAGAGAGGUUGUACAUGAGUGGUGGAUCUAAAGAGGCGUUACGAAGGUUGUACAUGAGUGGUGGAUCUAGAGAGAGGUUGUACAUGAGUGGCGGAUCUAGA